AUGGACCCUGGCCUCCUCUGGCCCCCAAGGAGUCCUGCUCGCUGCUGGCUCUGGUGGAAGCGCUGCAGACCCACAGCCCGGUCCUGCGCCCGCAGAGGCUGCUACCCUUGGCAGUGUUUGCUUCCAACAGGCCCCGCCGCCGGGAGCCAGCCCCUCUCUGACGCCCUAAGCUCCACUGCAGGGGUCUGGAGCCAGGCAACCUCCAUCGGGUCUCAGUUUUGUCAUCGGAAAGCCCGCUCCCGCUGGCUGGGGUACCAUCUGCUAAGCGUCUCCCGGCCAUGCCCAAGGGAGGAGGUUGCAGCCCGAGGGAGGGGUCUCGGAGCAUUCCCGACCCACCCGGGCAGGAGCUGCCGCUGCCGCCGCGGAGCGGAGGGACCGGGAGCCCGCGAGGCCGGGGAAGGGCGGGCCAGGAGAGGGGUCACCCGCCCGCCUGGGUGCGGUCCGCGCGGCGCGGGGCGGCGGCCACCGGCACCCCGACCCCGGACGCACCCCCCACCCUCCAGCCUGCCGCGCUCACCUGCCGCGCGCUCCCGCUCCGCCGCCGCCAGAGUGGCAGCCCCAGUGGCCGCGGGCCGGCCCGGUUCUCACCGCGGGCGGGGAAGGAGGAGCGGCCGCAGGCGCCCCCCGCUGGCCGCGUGUCCCAGGCCCCGGGCGCAGGGGCGGGAUCCGGGGCGGAGGACUGGGGGGCGCCCGGGAGACCGCGUCCCCGCUGCAGGCGCAGCCGCCCCCGCCCCAGCUACCCCAGAACCGCGGGAAACCUCCAUCGCGAGGGAGCUGGCGAGCUGGGGUCGCGGCAGGAAGGAAAGGAGUCCCAGCAGGACCUUCUCCAGGUUACGCUGAUGCUGCAGGUCCUUGGCAGACUGGGUGGCGAGGCUCUGAGGCACUGGAGUCCAAAUGAGGCUGGAGUCCCACUCUCAAGAGAUUCUGGUCCUUGGGUGAGGUCUGGGAAUAUGCAUUAUUUUUAAAACCCAGGUGAGUUUAAUUUGUGACAAGGAUGGCACUUCAAAUCAGAAAGGAAAAGGAAUGGCUCCUUUAAAAAAAAAAAAAAAAAAAAAAAGAACCACAGCUGGGCUGGGCAUUGUGGCUUAUAAUCCCAGCAUUUUGGGAGGCCGAGGCAGGUGGAUCACCUGAGGUCAGGAGUUUGAGACCAGACUGGCCAACAUGGUGAAACCCCAUCUCUACCAAAAAUAUAAAAAUUAUCUGGGUGUGGUGACAGGCACCUGAAUCACAGCUACUCAGGAGGCUGAGGCAGGAUAAGUGCUUGAAUCUGGGAGGUGGAUGUUGCAGUGAGCUGAGAUCGCACCACUGCACUUCAGCCUGGGUGACCGAGUGAAACUCCAUCUCAAAAAAGAAAGAAAGAAAGAAAACAAAGCUGGUGGCACGUGGCUGUGUUGCCAGCUACUCGGGAGGCUGAGGCAGGAGGAUUGCUUGAGCCCAGGAGGUGGAGGCUGCAGUGAGUGGUGAUUGCACCACCGCACUCUAGCCUGGGCAACAGAGGGAGACAUGGGCACACACAACCACAUCUGACUGGUGUGUGGAAUAGUGCUAUGACUUCCCAGCCCGUCAUCUGUGGGUCUUCUUCACACAAAUCUAUGAGCAAGUCUCCUGACAGCAGACAGGAAAACAGAGCUGGAGAAGGUGAAUAUACACCAUGCCUGCAUCACUCCUCCCAUGAGGACCGUCGGGCCAUCUCCAUCAUCCCCAUCGUCCCCAUUGCUACUGUGGACCUGUCAGUGGGAUCAUCCCAUUCGAUACUCAGUCCUCAAUAGAGAGUUCUCAAACAGUAGCCAGCAACAGAGUCACCCAGAGGUCUGGUGGAGGCACACGUGGCUGGGCUCUGCUUAAUUUUGGAUUCAGUCUAUGUUACCCAGGCUGAUCUUGAACUCCCAAGCACAAGUGAUCCUCUUGCUUCAGCCUCAUGCUGGGAUUAGAGCAUGUGCCACUGCACCAAGCUCAAACCAGCAGUGGCAUGAGCUUGUAGUCCUACCUAUUGGGAGGCCAAGGCAGGAGGAUCCCUUGAGUUCAGGAGUUUGAGGCCAGACUGGGAAACAUAACAAGACCCUCUCUUUUUUAAAAAACAAAAAGACUGAUAGAGGAGAGAUCUUUCUGUUUGAAAACAAAACUCAUUAAGAGAAAGCAUGUUCGUAAUUUUGGAGUGGAGAAGCAUGCAUGGGAAAUUGAAUGCACAUGGAAAGGCUAUUAUUGAAAGUUGCAUGUCUGCCAGAAACGGUGGCUCACGCCUGUAAUCCCAGCACUUUGGGAGGCUGAGGCAGGUGGAUCACGAGGUCAAGAGAUCGAGACCAUCCUGGCCAACAUGGUGAAACCCUGUCUCUACUUUAAAAAAAAAAAAUUAGCUGGGUGUGGUGGUGCAUGCCUGUAGUCCCAGCUACUUGGGAGGCUGAGGCAGGAGCAUUGCUUGAACCCGGGAGGCAGAGGUUGCAGUGAGCCAAGCUCACGCCACUGCACUCCAGUCUGGCCCCUGGCAACAGAGCGAGACUGUCUCAAGGAAAAAAAAAAAAAAAGAAAGUUGCAUGUCUCUGUCCAGAUAAGGAAGUUUCCAGAUGUCCACAUCUAAUGUGUUUGUGAUUUUAAUUAUUUAGUUUUUGAGACAGAGUCUUCCUCUGUCUCCCAGGGUGGAGUGCAGUGGUUCAAUCUUGGCUCACUACAACCUCUA
Molecule: long non-coding RNA, 2674 nt
Filed under: Callithrix jacchus (white-tufted-ear marmoset)
Lineage: Eukaryota; Metazoa; Chordata; Mammalia; Primates; Cebidae
Description: lncRNA (ENSCJAG00000052068.2)
Source: RNAcentral